GAGUUUGAACCUGGCUCAGGAUGAACGCUGGCGGCGUGCCUAAUACAUGCAAGUCGAGCGAACCACUUCGGUGGUGAGCGGCGAACGGGUGAGUAACACGUAGGUGAUCUGCCCAUCAGACGGGGACAACGAUUGGAAACGAUCACUAAUACCGGAUAGGACGAAAGUUUAAAGGUGCUUCUGGCACCGCUGAUGGAUGAGCCUGCGGCGCAUUAGCUAGUUGGUAGGGUAAAGGCCUACCAAGGCGACGAUGCGUAGCCGACCUGAGAGGGUGAACGGCCACACUGGGACUGAGACACGGCCCAGACUCCUACGGGAGGCAGCAGUAGGGAAUCUUCGGCAAUGGGCGAAAGCCUGACCGAGCAACGCCGCGUGAAUGAUGAAGGCCUUCGGGUUGUAAAAUUCUGUUAUAAGGGAAGAACGACUUUAGUAGGAAAUGGCUAGAGUGUGACGGUACCUUAUGAGAAAGCCACGGCUAACUACGUGCCAGCAGCCGCGGUAAUACGUAGGUGGCGAGCGUUAUCCGGAAUUAUUGGGCGUAAAGAGCGCGCAGGUGGUUGAUUAAGUCUGAUGUGAAAGCCCACGGCUUAACCGUGGAGGGUCAUUGGAAACUGGUCGACUUGAGUGCAGAAGA
RNAcentral lists this ribosomal RNA (634 nucleotides) under uncultured bacterium. Its description in RNAcentral is "bacterial SSU rRNA". It matches the Rfam family "Bacterial small subunit ribosomal RNA", at positions 9 to 655 of the family's 1533-position model. The record is from RNAcentral.